ACAUCGCGUCGCCACACCUCGACUCUCCUCCGCUCUUCCCCGCUCUCCCCAUCUGACCCCCUCCUGCCUACUGCCCCCUCUCUCCUCGUCCGCUGUGCUGCGUCGUCUGGGCCCCACCCCACCCCUGCCGUUGCCUCUCCCGUCUGUCUCGGCGCCGGCCUUCUCAGUGUUUCGCUCUUGUGCGUUGUCGCCCAUGGCGUACAAUAUCACCGUCAUUGUCUACGUGGUCGUGCAGUUCGUGGCGUUUCUUCUGGUGCUGGCAGGAACGCCCCUGGACAUCUUUCGCGGUGUGGCUCCGGAGAUUUUGGGGCACCGUAUGGUUUGCAUCACACUGUUUGGUAUGAAAGUGGACUGCUACAAUAAGACGUAUUUAGAAACAACUGAGGAGUUGUGGGCGGAGUGUUUUAACCGCCUGAACCGCUUCCACGCUGCACAGGCGUUCGCUAUCAUUUCCAUCCUUGUAUACUUUGCGGCAUUCGCGUUUGGGUUGCUUCUGCUCUUCUGCUGCCCCUGCUUGCGUUGGGUCUGCCUGGCACUCAACGUUGCUGGCAUCCUCACCUUGUGCGUUGUGUGGGCGGCCAUGGUGGUGACGUACUAUACAGAUGAUAGCGCAGACUGCGUAAAGGCCAAAGACGAAUUCACCUUCGGUAUCGGCUUUGACCUCUUGAUGACGGCUUGGUGCCUGGAUAUCAUCGCUGCGAUUUUGAUGCUCUUGUACGCGGUGAAUUAUUCUCGGAUGAACGAAAACGAGGCACUGCAACAAGGAAAACAAUAGAACUGGAGAUACGAGGAACGAGCGGAGGGCGGGCUUGAGAGCGGCGCGGCCCCUCCCCACACCGGCGUCCUCGUGGUGGAGCCGGUGUCGGCGAGGAUGAGGGUGCACAAGCUGCGGGUUCCCGUGUGUGCCCUUCGCCGGCCCAGCCCUCUCGCUCCCUGUCGUGUGUGCGUGCGCGUGCGCGGGCAGCAGCGGCACCGCCGUGCACAGGCACCGCUGCCGAGGGGCGAUUGCAGCACUUCCCCCACGCCUGCGUGUGAUACACGGCGGCUGCGUGUGUGCAGGCGCAUGCGCCCCUGUGCCCCUCCUCCCCCUUGUUCCGUGAGCGGCCCCCGCGGCCCUCCCUCCCUAACGCUGCCGUUGUUCGCGGGUGCCGCCCCACGCUCUCGCCUUAUUCGACGCUCGUCUCUUUCGAG
Molecule: unclassified non-coding RNA, 1191 nt
Filed under: Leishmania donovani
Lineage: Eukaryota; Euglenozoa; Kinetoplastea; Trypanosomatida; Trypanosomatidae
Description: gene:LdHU3.34.2580(CDS-product:amastin-like_surfa ce_protein_putative)
Source: RNAcentral